Molecule: unclassified non-coding RNA, 353 nt
Filed under: soil metagenome
Description: partial contains 5.8S ribosomal RNA, internal transcribed spacer 2, and large subunit ribosomal RNA
Rfam family: 5.8S ribosomal RNA (bases 1-120)
Source: RNAcentral
GAUGAAGAACGUAGCGAAAUGCGAUAAGUAGUGUGAAUUGCAGAAUUCAGUGAAUCAUCGAAUCUUUGAACGCACAUUGCGCCUCCUGGUAUUCCGGGAGGCAUGCCUGUUCGAGCGUCAUUAAAAUCACUCAAGCUUAGGUUUGCCUAUUGCUUGGUCUUGAAGAUGGAAGCUAAGUAAUUAGAAUCCUCUUCGAAAUCCAAUGGCGAAGACCCUUGCUCUCCCAAGUGUAGUAAUAACUUAUUCACUGAAGGAAGCGAGUAAUCUUCCGCCGUAACCCCCAUCUUUUCUAUGAUUGACCUCGGAUCAGGUAGGGAUACCCGCUGAACUUAAGCAUAUCAAUAAGCGGAGGA